ACUGCUCCGCGCCAAACGCCAUUCAGACGAGCGCGCCAAUUGGCCAGCGGCCCUCAGGGCUCUGCCCCGCCCAAUGCUAUAGGUGGCCGUCUCCCCGUGACCUCUCCUGGAGCCCCACCCAGGCCCGCUCCCACCCGCCAUUGGCUGGCCUUGCGAUACGAAGCGGCGACGAUCGCGGCCUGAAUUCCCGGCGCCGGCCCCAGCUCCAGUGCCGCUGCCGCCAUGCUCGACUUCUUCACCAUUUUCUCCAAGGGCGGGCUUGUACUCUGGUGCUUCCAGGGCGUUAGCGACUCAUGCACCGGGCCCGUUAACGCGUUGAUUCGUUCCGUGCUGCUGCAGGAACGGGGAGGUAACAACUCCUUCACCCAUGAGGCACUCACACUCAAGUAUAAACUGGACAACCAGUUUGAGCUGGUGUUUGUGGUUGGUUUUCAGAAGAUCCUGACACUGACGUAUGUAGACAAAUUGAUAGAUGACGUGCACCGGCUGUUUCGGGACAAGUACCGCACGGAGAUCCAACAGCAAAGUGCUUUAAGUUUAUUAAAUGGCACUUUUGAU
This 558-nucleotide small RNA is filed under the name Pongo abelii (Sumatran orangutan). RNAcentral's name for it is "processed transcript". The record is from RNAcentral. Lineage: Eukaryota; Metazoa; Chordata; Mammalia; Primates; Hominidae.